This 186-nucleotide ribosomal RNA is filed under the name uncultured bacterium. RNAcentral describes it as "partial 16S ribosomal RNA". It matches the Rfam family "Bacterial small subunit ribosomal RNA", at positions 338 to 536 of the family's 1533-position model. The record is from RNAcentral.
CCUACGGGUGGCAGCAGUGGGGAAUAUUGCACAAUGGGCGGAAGCCUGAUGCAGCAACGCCGCGUGCGGGAUGACGGCCUUCGGGUUGUAAACCGCUUUCGCCUGUGACGAAGCGUGAGUGACGGUAAUGGGUAAAGAAGCACCGGCUAACUACGUGCCAGCAGCCGCGGUGAUACGUAGGGUGCG